This 73-nucleotide transfer RNA is filed under the name Stegodyphus mimosarum. It matches the Rfam family "tRNA". From Rfam's summary of the family: Transfer RNA (tRNA) molecules are approximately 80 nucleotides in length. Their secondary structure includes four short double-helical elements and three loops (D, anti-codon, and T loops). Further hydrogen bonds mediate the characteristic L-shaped molecular structure. tRNAs have two regions of fundamental functional importance: the anti-codon, which is responsible for specific mRNA codon recognition, and the 3' end, to which the tRNAs corresponding amino acid is attached (by aminoacyl-tRNA synthetases). tRNAs cope with the degeneracy of the genetic code in two manners: having more than one tRNA (with a specific anti-codon) for a particular amino acid; and 'wobble' base-pairing, i.e. permitting non-standard base-pairing at the 3rd anti-codon position. The record is from Rfam by way of RNAcentral. Lineage: Eukaryota; Metazoa; Arthropoda; Arachnida; Araneae; Eresidae.
GCCUUCGUGGUAUAGUGGUCAGCACGCUCGGCGCGUAUUCGAGAGUUCCGUGGUUCGAGUCCUGGUGGGGGCA